Molecule: ribosomal RNA, 1950 nt
Filed under: human gut metagenome
Description: bacterial LSU rRNA
Rfam family: Bacterial large subunit ribosomal RNA
Source: RNAcentral
UUAAAGUAGUAAGGGCGCAGGGUGGAUGCCUUGGCACUAAGAGCCGAUGAAAGACGUGAUAAGCUGCGAAAAGCUUCGGGGAGGAGCACAUAUCCAAUGAUCCGGAGAUAUCUGAAUGGGGAAACCCGGCAGAGGAAACCUCUGUCAGCGUGCAGUGAAUACAUAGCUGUACGUGGGGAACCCGGGGAACUGAAACAUCUAAGUACCCGGAGGAAGAGAAAGAAAAUUUAUCGAUUUCCAAAGUAGCGGCGAGCGAAAUGGAAAGAGCCCAAACCGUGAUGCGUGCAUCGCGGGGUUCGGACUGCGUUGUGGCAGACGUAAGAUAGGAGAACGGACUGGGAAGUCCGGCCGGAGAGAGUGAAAGCCUCGUAUCCGAAAUCCCAAGUCGCCUAGCAGGAUCCAGAGUAGGACGAGACACGAGAAACCUUGUCUGAACGAGCGGGGACCACCCCGUAAGGCUAAAUACUUCUUAGUGACCGAUAGCGCAUAGUACUGUGAAGGAAAGGUGAAAAGUACCCCGGGAGGGGAGUGAAAGAGAACCUGAAACCCUGUGUCUACAAGCUGUGGGACCUCUUUAUAUGAGGGACUGCGUACUUUUUGUAGAACGGUCCGGCGAGUUGUGCGUACUGGCGAGGUUAAGGACUUAAGGUCUGGAGCCGAAGUGAAAGCAAGCGUUAAUAGCGCGUCAAGUCAGUGAGUGCAGACCCGAAACCGGGUGACCUAUCCAUGUCCAGGUUGAAGCUUCCGUAAGAGGAAGUGGAGGACCGAACCCACAUCCGUUGAAAAGGGUGGGGAUGAGGUGUGGAUAGCGGAGAAAUUCCAAUCGAACCCGGAGAUAGCUGGUUCUCCUCGAAAUAGCUUUAGGGCUAGCCUCAUGAGAGUCUUAUGGAGGUAGAGCACUGAAUUGCCUAGGGGGCGUCAAAGCUUACCAAAGCAUAUCAAACUCCGAAUGCCAUCAAGAUGAUUCAUGGGAGUCAGACCAUACGAGAUAAGUUGGAUGGUCAAAAGGGAAAGAGCCCAGACCUACAGCUAAGGUCCCAAAGUGCGUGUUAAGUGGAAAAGGAUGUGGGGAUUCUAAGACAACUAGGACGUUGGCUUAGAAGCAGCCAUUCAUUGAAAGAGUGCGUAAUAGCUCACUAGUCGAGAGUCCCUGCGCCGAAAAUGUCCGGGGCUGAAACACGACACCGAAGCUUAGGAAUGUGUAAACAUUGGUAGAGGAGCAUUGCUGGCGGGAUGAAGCCAUACCGUAAGGAGUGGUGGACUGCCAGGAAGAGAGAAUGCCGGAAUGAGUAGCGAGAUGAAGGUGAGAAUCCUUCAGGCCGAAUAUCUAAGGUUUCCAGAGUAAAGCUGAUCUGCUCUGGGUAAGUCGGGACCUAAGGCGAGGUCGAAAGACGUAGUCGAUGGAUAACAGGUUGAAAUUCCUGUACCGCAUAUAAACAGAACUGUGGGGACACAGACAGGGAAUGGAAUCCGGGAAUGGAGAUCCCGGUGCAAGCGAGGUAGGAGUGCUGUUGGCAAAUCCGCAGCACGAUCUGAAGACGUGAUGCGUACCGAACAUAAGUAGGGAAGUCCAGGCCCCUGGCUGUCAAGAAAAGCCGCUAUCGUUUUAUAUGUGCCCGUACCGCAAACCGACACAGGUGGAUGAGGAGAGAAUCCUAAGGCCGACGGGAGAAGUAUUGUUAAGGAACUCGGCAAAAUGACUCCGUAACUUCGGGAGAAGGAGUGCCAUGAGAGUGGCCGCAGAGAAAUGGCCCAAGCAACUGUUUAGCAAAAACACAGGUCUAUGCAAAACCGCAAGGUGAAGUAUAUGGGCUGACGCCUGCCCGGUGCUGGAAGGUUAAGGGGAGAGGUUAGCGCAAGCGAAGCUUUGAACUUAAGCCCCAGUAAACGGCGGCCGUAACUAUAACGGUCCUAAGGUAGCGAAAUUCCUUGUCGGGUAAGUUCCGACCC